Equus quagga is the source of this 1465-nucleotide long non-coding RNA. RefSeq lists it as uncharacterized. Lineage: Eukaryota; Metazoa; Chordata; Mammalia; Perissodactyla; Equidae. The transcript is spliced from 3 exons. The record is from RefSeq and is a predicted model, not a curated record.
CAUAAAUGGAGAAGUAAAACUGACAGAAGUUGGAGGUAGAAGGGGACAUUUCGGUGGAAAGACAGGCUUCCAGAGGGACUGCAAAGCCCUUUACCAUGGUCUGGAUGCUGGAGAAGGUGCCUUUCUACGGGGCCAUAGGGGUGCAGGGGCAGGCAGGACAGGAUGUUCUCCGAGUUCCAGCAGCAGGACCAUCCCUCAGAACGCGCAGCAGAGCCAUGAUUAGGGCUGAAGCCUGGUUGUGGGGCAAAGGCCUCGCCUCACCUUUCACCGCCGUCUCGCUUGAGAUGUCGCAAGUAUUUAGAGACUUGCCUUUUCCCCCCCUCUCAUCAGCUUUAUAACCCUGAACACAUUCUUAUUUUUCUUCCCAUCACUCAAUUUAUCAGCCCCUGGAACAAGUCUGUCACUCACCCGUGAGCCUAGAAGGCUCUCUGGUGAAUUGUAAGGCAGUUCACACUGGCUUGAUUGGGCAGAACAGGGUGGUGGUGGUUCUUAUCUUGGGUUUAAUUUGCUUAAGUUGUUCCUACCUCCUCUGCUCAGGUCUAGCGGCUCUUUGGGAGCUCUGGUCGGGUAUUUCGGUAGCAGGAUAAGAGUGGUUAAGAGCAUAAGUUUAGGCUGCGGAGGGGGCCUGGGUACAUGUCCCAGGUCUGCCAUUAAGGGCCACAUGACCCGGGACAUGUGGCUUGACCUCUCUGAGCCUCAAAGUUCUCAUCUGUAAAAUGGGAAAGAACAUUACCUGCCUCAAAGGAUUGCUGGGAGGAUGGAACGAGAAUGCUUAUGGAGCACUUAGGACUGCUCCAGGCACAAGGUUAUCCCCAUAAUCUUCCCAGCAGGACAAGGACAACCACAGGUCCGGGAUAAGGGUAUUGGGAUCAGAGAAUCAGGGGUUAUGAAGCCAGGCUUUUCGCCCUAGACAAGGGUGGAAGUGAAGAGGAAAGAGCUUGUUCUAGUUGAAAGAUCCAGUCAGGGUUCCUUAAGGUGGUAAAAGCCAAGAUUUUCAGGAUUGAAAGAGACCCUGGAAAUCCUCUGACUGAAAAGAAGGCAGCUCUGUAGCAGGAGAGUGAGAAAGAAGACGGGCCCGAGUGACCUCCACAAAGUACCACUUAUGAAGGAUUUGAGGUUUUGACGGGAGUGCCUGGCGGCUAAAAAUAGGACAGGACUGUGUGGGCUCCGUGAGCCUGGUUGCUCCUCAGGUGGAGAAAAAAGUUACCCCAUCCACCAGAGGGUCAGUUCCUCCUUUCCCCUGGAGGAGAUGCUGGAGACUUAGGAAACUGGAUGGACCAGGUCCUCGUUGCCGUAAUCUAGUUAUAACCAACCCAUGUUUCCCGUAUGGUCUGGCACAGAAACCAAAGGAAGGGUAUGCAGAGCUGGGCCCCGCUGGUUCCUUGGCAUGGCUGCUCUGCCCUCUGGGAAAGAUGGAGAAACCAGGGCUGGGAACCCAUAGGCCCCUAAGAAGAAAACAUCAACA